Molecule: non-coding RNA, 962 nt
Filed under: Soboliphyme baturini
Lineage: Eukaryota; Metazoa; Nematoda; Enoplea; Dioctophymatida; Soboliphymatidae
Description: Eukaryotic large subunit ribosomal RNA
Rfam family: Eukaryotic large subunit ribosomal RNA
Source: Rfam by way of RNAcentral
AAUAAUCAGCGGGGAAAGAAGACCCUGUUGAGCUUGACUCUAGUUUGAUUUUGCGAAGACACAAACGGUGUGGCAUAAGCGGGUAAUCGGUUCGUCCAGUCGAAAGUGAAAUACCACUACUUUUAUAGUUUCUUUACUUAUUCGGUGAAGUCGAUGAAGAGUCGUUAAAUGAUUCGGUAUUUUUGUGUUAGUAUUUGUUUGUUGUUGCUGUGUACACCGAAGAGAGUGUCAGAAGAGGAAAAUGUACCAAUUUUCACUCGUACACUGGUGAAAAUUUAACGCAGGUGUCUUAUGGAGAGCUCAGUGAGACCAGAAACCUUACGAUGAAUAAAAGGUCGAAAGCUUGCUUGAUUUCGCUUUUCAGUCUUUUUGACUUUGUUUAUUUCAAACAAGGGGUGUCAGAUAAGUUACCACCGAUAACUGGAUUGUGGCAGCCAAAUGUUCGUAACGACGUUGCUUUAUUGAUCUCUCGAUGUCGGCUCUUCAUUUGCAAAGUGUUGGAAAUGUUGGCUCGGUUUAAACCGUCGUGAGACAUCUUAGUUUUACCGUACUGAUGACAGUAUCGUUGCAAACGUGAUCAUGCACAGUAUGAGAGGAACCGCUACUUUUGAUAUUUGGUUUGUGUAUCUGGUCGAAAGGCCAAUGAUGCGAGUCUAUCGUCAGUUUGAUUAUGGUUGAACGCCUGUAAAUCAGAAUCUGGUCUAUAGCGGAAUAGAAAUUAAGCUGUCUGUAUGCAUCAGGGCGAAGAUAAAGUUCACUUCAAUGAAAAGUACGAAUUAGUGAAACGUCGGGAAUCCGUGUCGGGUGUUUUGAUGUUGGACAAUUUGCGGACGUGCGAAUGAAAGCUACGAUGUAUUUGAUGAUUAGAACAAUUGUGAAACAGGUAACAGACGAGGUGUCGUAUUCUUUUGAGUAGGUACCAUCCUGUGAUCAGUUGAAACUGUGCCUAUGACUAGGGUUCU